UCCGAAUUGGUGUAGUGGCCAACAUUUGACGCUCUCAUCGUAGCCUGUCCAGUGAAUGGUGUAGGUUAGGGGAAGUGCCGUCAAGCCCGGGGUUCGAUUCCCCGAUUCGGAG
Molecule: non-coding RNA, 112 nt
Organism: Ustulina deusta
Lineage: Eukaryota; Fungi; Ascomycota; Sordariomycetes; Xylariales; Xylariaceae
Source: the annotation of a GenBank genome assembly